GAGGUGUCAUUCUUAGGAAGUACGCCACUAAUUGAGGAAGGAAUAUUUGA
This 50-nucleotide small RNA is filed under the name Caenorhabditis elegans. RNAcentral's name for it is "Unclassified non-coding RNA C06A12.18". Lineage: Eukaryota; Metazoa; Nematoda; Chromadorea; Rhabditida; Rhabditidae. The record is from RNAcentral.